AUGCUUGUUUUGGCAGCACAUAAACUAAACUGGAAUGAUACAGAGAAGAUUAGCAUGGCCCCUGCACGUGGAUGACACGCAAAUUCAUGAAGCGUUCCAUUAAAAC
Small nuclear RNA from Cercocebus atys (sooty mangabey), 106 nucleotides. The record is from Ensembl. Lineage: Eukaryota; Metazoa; Chordata; Mammalia; Primates; Cercopithecidae.